This 210-nucleotide ribosomal RNA is filed under the name uncultured bacterium. RNAcentral describes it as "partial 16S ribosomal RNA". It matches the Rfam family "Bacterial small subunit ribosomal RNA", at positions 1290 to 1500 of the family's 1533-position model. The record is from RNAcentral.
AGUUCGGACUGUGGUCUGCAACUCGACCACACGAAGCUGGAAUCGCUAGUAAUCGCGAAUCAGCAUGUCGCGGUGAAUACGUUCCGGGUCUUGUACACACCGCCCGUCACACCAUGGGAGCCGGUAACGCCCGAAGUCAGUGACCCAACCGAGAGGAGGGAGCUGCCGAAGGCGGGACAGGUAACUGGGGUGAAGUCGUAACAAGGUAAC